Molecule: ribosomal RNA, 253 nt
Filed under: uncultured bacterium
Lineage: Bacteria
Description: partial 16S ribosomal RNA
Rfam family: Bacterial small subunit ribosomal RNA
Source: RNAcentral
UACGGGGGGGGUAAGCGUUGUUCGGAAUUACUGGGCGUAAAGGGCUCGUAGGCGGCCAACUAAGUCAGACGUGAAAUCCCUCAGCUUAACUGGGGAACUGCGUCUGAUACUGGAUGGCUUGGAUUCGGGAGAGGGAUGCGGAAUUCCAGGUGUAGCGGUGAAAUGCGUAGAUAUCUGGAGGAACACCGGUGGCGAAGGCGGCAUCCUGGACCGAUAUUGACGCUGAGGAGCGAAAGCCAGGGGAGCAAACAGG